This 240-nucleotide ribosomal RNA is filed under the name uncultured Lactobacillus sp. RNAcentral describes it as "partial 16S ribosomal RNA". It matches the Rfam family "Bacterial small subunit ribosomal RNA", at positions 122 to 355 of the family's 1533-position model. Lineage: Bacteria; Bacillati; Bacillota; Bacilli; Lactobacillales; Lactobacillaceae. The record is from RNAcentral.
UAACCUGCCCAAGAGAUCGGGAUAACACCUGGAAACAGAUGCUAAUACCGGAUAACAACAGAUGAUGCCUAUCAACUGUUUAAAAGAUGGUUAUGCUAUCACUCUUGGAUGGACCUGCGGUGCAUUAGCUAGUUGGUAGGGUAACGGCCUACCAAGGCGAUGAUGCAUAGCCGAGUUGAGAGACUGAUCGGCCACAUUGGGACUGAGACACGGCCCAAACUCCUACGGGAGGCAGCAGCA